Molecule: small nuclear RNA, 164 nt
Organism: Echinops telfairi (small Madagascar hedgehog)
Lineage: Eukaryota; Metazoa; Chordata; Mammalia; Afrosoricida; Tenrecidae
Gene: U1
Rfam family: U1 spliceosomal RNA
About the family: U1 is a small nuclear RNA (snRNA) component of the spliceosome (involved in pre-mRNA splicing). Its 5' end forms complementary base pairs with the 5' splice junction, thus defining the 5' donor site of an intron.
Source: Ensembl
AUAUUUACCUGGCAGGGGAGAUACCAUGAUCAUGAAGGAGGUUUUCCCAGAGCGAGGCUCAUCCAUUGCACUUCGGAAGUGCUGAUCCCUGUGAUUUCCCCAAAUGUGGGAAAUUCAACUGCAUAAUUUGUGGUAGUGGGGGACUGAAUUUGCGCAGUCCCCUG